This 1184-nucleotide long non-coding RNA is filed under the name Nicotiana tabacum (common tobacco). Its description in RNAcentral is "long non-coding RNA (NTAB_LNC009144)". Lineage: Eukaryota; Viridiplantae; Streptophyta; Magnoliopsida; Solanales; Solanaceae. The record is from RNAcentral.
UAAGAAUGGGUUUCGUUCUAGUGCUCAAAAAUAAUAUUCCAAAGCUUUCGUGUGUUCUCCAUUACUUGUGUGGAUAAGCCCUAUAUUAUAGAGUAUAUAACUUCGAUCAUAGGGAUCAAUUUCUAGUCGCAUAGCUUCAUAAUAAUUCUGCAAAGCUUCCGCGUAAUUUCCUUCGGAUUGAGCCGACAUCCGUUACGGUCGUCAUUCAAUUGAAAGAAUCUCCGUUCCAGAACCGUACGUGAGAUUUUCACCUCAUACGGCCCAUCCCUUAUGUGCAUAAUGAGAAUAAUACAUAGAAUCAAAAAGAUUCAACGAUGAAAAUAUUCUCAUUAUGAACUCAGCAGGGCUAGUGUUUUUACAAGAAAUCUCUAGCCAACCUUCCUGCAGGAGAUUCUUUCUUAACAUCAAGCCUAUUGGGACUAGAUAGAAAUGAUAAGAUAACUCCAACAAUUUCUUUGUUUUUAACGCCUCCUAAUUUCCAAAAAUUAGUCACUUCAAUAGCCUUCGAUGGUUAUACGGGUAUCCGAAGGACGAACGAGAUGGAUGUUUGUUGUCCCAACCAUUCUUUUAGUCCCAAGCCCGCUAAGAAAAGGGCUGACUUAGAACAAAGUUUUCGUGUUGUUGAUUCCUAGGUGCAGUGAUUCUUCCCCUAUGCUGCCUAUUAGCGCUAGUAGAGUAGGAUUGACCUGUAAUACAGAACCUCUAGGCGUAACCUUUCGCUUAAUACUAGAAUCGAGAAUCGAAACAUAGCAUCUGAGGUUUCAUUAAUCGAGGAUACAUGACAGAAGGAAUUGUUAUAUUUCCAAACAUCACCUUCAAAAAGCGUAGAUUUUUUUUUCAAAAUUUUUCUCGAAUCACGUGUUUUUCUCCUCAUAAGACUGAGAGAAAUGAAUAAAUAUGAAAUAAUAAAAAAAAAGAAUCAAAUCGCACCAUCUCUGUAAUAGGUAAAUGCCUCUUUUUCUCCUGAAGUUGUCGGAAUUACUCGUAAUAAGAUAUCGGCUACAAUUGAAAAGGUCUUAUCAAUAAAAUUUCAAUUUAUCCGUGAUCUAGGCAUAGGUAGCAAUCCAUUCUAGAAUUCUUCUCAUUACCUCUCAUGGGAAAAAGAUCCCACAAAGAAAAGAAUUGUAUAGUACGAAAUAACAUAAAAACUUCUUUUUUUUUUAAGAAAAAAACAAAAGAUAUGA